AGUGAACGCUGGCGGUAGGCCUAACACAUGCAAGUCGAACGGCAGCACAGUAAGAGCUUGCUCUUACGGGUGGCGAGUGGCGGACGGGUGAGGAAUACAUCGGAAUCUACUUUUUCGUGGGGGAUAACGUAGGGAAACUUACGCUAAUACCGCAUACGACCUACGGGCGAAAGCAGGGGAUCUUCGGACCUUGCGCGAUUGAAUGAGCCGAUGUCGGAUUAGCUAGUUGGCGGGGUAAAGGCCCACCAAGGCGACGAUCCGUAGCUGGUCUGAGAGGAUGAUCAGCCACACUGGAACUGAGACACGGACCAGACUCCUACGGGAGGCAGCAGUGGGGAAUAUUGGACAAUGGGGGCAAGCCUGAUCCAGCCAUACCGCGUGGGUGAAGAAGGCCUUCGGGUUGUAAAGCCCUUUUGUUGGGAAAGAAAAGCAGCAGGUUAAUACCCCGCUGUUCUGACGGUACCCAAAGAAUAAGCACCGGCUAACUUCGUG
This 492-nucleotide ribosomal RNA is filed under the name uncultured bacterium. RNAcentral's name for it is "partial 16S ribosomal RNA". It matches the Rfam family "Bacterial small subunit ribosomal RNA", at positions 29 to 507 of the family's 1533-position model. The record is from RNAcentral.